ACAGGCAGGUCACAGGGGAAAGUGAUCGAACCGCCAUUUUCCCAACUGCGCAUGCUCCAAAUCCAAAGAUGGCUGUCGACAGUGAACGUGGCGACUCAGCAUCACAGGUACAACAUCAUCAUAUCUGGUGCAGUAGAUGGGUACUCGAGAAAGAUUUUCUAUCUGGAACCAGCAACAAAUAACCGCUCAAACACUGCUCAUUCAUUUUUUUCUGAAGGCAGUGGAAAAAUAUGGCUGGCCUUCCAGGGGUGAUGAGGGCGUUGAAAAUGUCUCAAUUGCUGAAACCAUGUUCACUGUUAAAGGCACUGGAAGAGGGAGCUUCAUAGCUGGGCGGAGUCUGAAUAAUUCCUGCUUCUGAUCUAGAAUCGAGCGCCCGUGGCGAGAUGUCUGGACCAGCGUGACACACCUUUACUGUGAAGUUCUUCACAGUCUUGAGGAAGAUGGCCUGUUGGAUCUGGCAGAUGCUGUUCAUGUGUUUUGUGCCCACUGUUUUCCCUCCGUGUCUGGCAGAUGCCCGGGACAACCAUCCCAUACGGACUGAAGGUGGACUCUCUCCAAACCAGCUCUGGGUUUUGGGUCACAUGAAGAACCCUUGUGACCCAAACGACGAUUUGCAGAACAUGGAGCUGUUUGGAACUGACUGGGAGAUGUUAUGGAGACCAUAUGGAGUUCGAGUCCAGGAAAUUGAGUGCCCCCUGAAUCCGUACAUUCUGGAAACUGUACAGUCCAUGAUACAGCCAUUGGCAUCAUCAGAGUCAUUUGGCAGGGACAUUUACAUAACAAUGCUUCAGUGUAUUGAAAGUCUAAGUGCAACACAGGAAAUGCCUGAGAUGGAACAAGACCUUAACAUGAGGCAGGAGUCCCAAACAUUUUUAUUGAAAAACAUUGAACUUUCCCUUGAAAUUUCCAUUACAUUCAUCAGAAUUAAAUUUGUGAAAACCAAAAAUUACUGUGGGUACCCUGAAGAGUAUUUAGCAAAAACUAACUUUGGAGUAAACCAUUAUUAACAGAAAAAC
Scatophagus argus is the source of this 1016-nucleotide long non-coding RNA. RefSeq lists it as uncharacterized. The record is from RefSeq and is a predicted model, not a curated record. The transcript is spliced from 6 exons. Lineage: Eukaryota; Metazoa; Chordata; Actinopteri; Scatophagidae.